UCAUGUGCUGAUGUGUCAAGUUGU
This 24-nucleotide non-coding RNA is filed under the name Arabidopsis thaliana (thale cress). Lineage: Eukaryota; Viridiplantae; Streptophyta; Magnoliopsida; Brassicales; Brassicaceae. The record is from RNAcentral.